AAGAAGGGUUUUUUGUAUUUAUUGAGUUAGAAAGGGAUUUUAAUUUUAAAUAAUAAACGUGUUCUAGAAAUAGAAUUUCAAAAAUAUAAAUAUAGAAUCAAUACAUAAAAAUAUUUAUAAAAACACAAAAGAUAAAUAAAUAUUAUUAGUAGGAAUAGACGUAAUAUAGUAUAAGGAAUAGACAAAAUAUACUGUACAAAUUACAUACUGCAUCCAUGUCCACUAUAAAUAUGCACUUGAAUAUAAAUACGAAAAAUAGAAAUAUCAAAUUUAUUUAAAUAUCAUUUAAAAGAACGGAGCUUGUUUUGGUCACGUCGGCUAAGAGGCAGGUUUUUGGCAUUUAUGUCAGAGCAGUUUUUUUCUGGGGUCGCCCCUGUUCUUUUUUGCCGCCGUCGCUGCCCGCAACCCCGAGGCGCGCUGCGCCCCCGUCUGGGGCGGGCGGCAGUGCUGCCGCCUUGUGGGCAGAGCGCGGUACUGCAGCCGUGCGCCGGCAGGCAGCCGAGAGGCCGCCAUGCUGGGAGUGGCGUGUCGCGGGUGUCUCGGACUUUUCGUUGACCUUCUCGAGAUGGCGGGGAAGUGGAGGACCCCGGUGGGUGUAAGUGAACUGCCUGCAUGGAAUACCGACGUCAUGGCGGCCCCGACGGAUUUUUCUGUGGCGUUUGAAGCGUAUCCGAUACAUGCUGUGGGCUCAGCGUCGCCGCGAGCGGGCGUAUUUUUGCGGGUUUGUGACAGGCAUCUGGGUAAACCUUCCCUCUGUGCGCCGGGGUCCUCUCAUGCCCGCUCUCCCGCCCUCAGCGAGCCGAGGAUGGCCGAAAAAUCCCGACUUGAGCCGAAGAGCCGAGUGUUGCCGAAAACAGCCGAGUUUACCCGAAGAGCCGAGUGUGGCCGAAAACAGCCGAGUUUACCCGAAGAGCCGAGUGUGGCCGAAAACAGCCGAGGGUAGCCGACACUGGCCGCAUUUAGAGAAUGUGCUGAAUAUGACCGAGUUUAGCCGCACCGUGCCGAGUUCGGCCGAAGAGCCGAACUGAAACAAGUUUAGACCAAGAGCCGAACCAAGCCGAAUUGAGCCGAGUUUCUUUAAACAGAACCGAAGGACGCCGCAGCGCUCUCCCUGCAGGUCUCCGGGGCACACGGCAGGGGGCGCUGUAUAAAGGGCGAAGGACCCGUUUGAUGCCCGGGAGGGACUGCAGCUCCCGGUGGCGGAGGACGGAGCAGUGGCUGUCAGCCCGAGACUACAACUCCCGGCAGGCCCUGCUGCCGGCGAGGCGUGUGACGCAACGGCUGACGCGGCGCAUGAGUGGCUGGCGUGCCAGGCGGCCGCGCGGGGCUGUGCGCGGGCAGCUCCCGGCCCCUCUCCCGCGCGGGACGGCGCCGCGGCGGCGACGCCGGAGGGGCGAAGCCUCCGUCUGGCCGCCCGCACGGAGCUGAGCAGCGCGGAAGGAGCGUCGGCCCGGUUCUUCGGCCUUACUCAGCGGUAGCGAUGGCGGAGGGCGAGGCGGUGCUUUGCUGCCGCGGGCCGGGAGCUGCAGGAGCCGCCCCGGGCGAGCGGCGCCGGGCGCUCCCGCGGUCCCGGUGGGGCGGCUGCCCUCAGGCUGGCGGAGGCGCAGCAGCCCCCGAGCUGCAGCCGUCUCCCUCGGGCUGCUGCCGGUGCUGCGGGCGGAGGCGGCUCCGCCGCGUGUUGGGCGUUGCGAGCAGAGAGCGCUGCGAUAUCGCCGGAAUGACUGGGCUGCUGCCUGCGCUAGUGCUCGAGGCUCUUUCUGCCAUGCAAACGGAUGGAGCGGCGCUGAGCGGUAAAGCCAGAGAUGGCCGGGAGAAUGCCCAGCGCAGGGAGCAGGCGGGCUGUAUCCUUCCGAUGGCACAGGGUACUCAGAAAAUAUGUCUCCCUUAGAGUCCCACAGAAACGUUCUCAGUGCGAUCUCUAUCAAGUGCUAUGAGUCUUGAUAAAUUGGAGAAGAGCCCAAGAGAAAUUUUUCAUCCCUUGAUAUAAAAGGGAUCGGUGAAUUUUAACUUUGGAGUCCUCUAUGCUAAGGAUGCUCGGCUUACAGAUGAUGAAAUGUUCAGUAAUGUAUUUGCUGCAGCUCUGCUUACCCAAACUUUGGGUUCCUUCUGUCCCACUGGGAGUUGCCCGAUUUGGUUGCAUCUGGUGAAAUUCACCCUGAGACCUUGGAGAACCAGCUCAAACUACGUGAGAGCCAUUUGCAGUUCUCUCCAGACACCUGGAGAAUGGGUGAUGCUUCUGAGGAUCUGGCAAGUGUACUUCUAUCAAAACUCAGUCUGUGAAAUUUCUGGGGAAAACCCUUCUGUGUACCGAAGGGUUCAAACUCUGGGAAAGACUCUCGUAUCCUUGUCGUCAGGCUCGGUGCUGUCCAAGAAGAUACAGAGACUAAAACAAUCAUAAGAAGCAAAAUAUGACUACAGGGAAAACAAGCUGGAGAGAACAAAAGA
Molecule: long non-coding RNA, 2445 nt
Organism: Zonotrichia leucophrys gambelii
Lineage: Eukaryota; Metazoa; Chordata; Aves; Passeriformes; Passerellidae
Exons: 7
Source: RefSeq, a predicted model, not a curated record